UGGGGAAUUUUCCGCAAUGGGCGAAAGCCUGACGGAGCAAUACCGCGUGAGGGAGGAAGGUUUUUGGAUUGUAAACCUCUUUUUUAAAGGAAGAAGAAAGUGACGGUACUUUAAGAAUAAGCAUCGGCUAACUCCGUGCCAGCAGCCGCGGUAAUACGGAGGAUGCAAGCGUUAUCCGGAAUCAUUGGGCGUAAAGCGUCCGCAGGUGGUUAAUCAAGUCUGCUGUUAAAGACAGAAGCUCAACUUCUGAAGGGCAGUGGAAACUGGGGAACUAGAGUACGGUAGGGGUUGAGGGAAUUCCCAGUGUAGCGGUGAAAUGCGUAGAUAUUGGGAAGAACACCAGUGGCGAAGGCGCUCAACUGGGCCGUAACUGACACUCAGGGACGAAAGCUAGGGUAGCGAAAGGG
RNAcentral lists this ribosomal RNA (407 nucleotides) under Bacillota bacterium. RNAcentral describes it as "Firmicutes bacterium partial 16S ribosomal RNA". It matches the Rfam family "Bacterial small subunit ribosomal RNA", at positions 355 to 776 of the family's 1533-position model. The record is from RNAcentral. Lineage: Bacteria; Bacillati; Bacillota.